GUCGGCGUAGCUCAGUUGGUUAGAGCACAGCACUCAUAAAGCUGAGGUCGGAGGUUCGAUCCCUCCCGCCGGCA
Molecule: transfer RNA, 74 nt
Filed under: bacterium
Lineage: Bacteria
Description: tRNA-Met
Rfam family: tRNA
About the family: Transfer RNA (tRNA) molecules are approximately 80 nucleotides in length. Their secondary structure includes four short double-helical elements and three loops (D, anti-codon, and T loops).
Source: RNAcentral